CUCCCUGUGGCUCAGUUGGUAGAGCAUGGUGUUUGCAACGCCAGGGUUGUGGGUUUGAUUCCCAUGGGGGGC
This 72-nucleotide transfer RNA is filed under the name Salmo salar (Atlantic salmon). It matches the Rfam family "tRNA". Rfam says of the family: Transfer RNA (tRNA) molecules are approximately 80 nucleotides in length. Their secondary structure includes four short double-helical elements and three loops (D, anti-codon, and T loops). The record is from Rfam by way of RNAcentral. Lineage: Eukaryota; Metazoa; Chordata; Actinopteri; Salmoniformes; Salmonidae.